GACGAACGCUGGCGGCGUGCCUAAUACAUGCAAGUCGAGCGCGUGAAACUAACUGAACUCUUCGGAGUGAUGUUAGUGGAACGAGCGGCGGACGGGUGAGUAACACGUGGGCAACCUGCCUGUAAGACUGGGAUAACUCGCGGAAACGUGAGCUAAUACCAGAUGAUACUUUGAACUGCAUAGUUCAAAGAUGAAAGACGGCUUUUAUGCUGUCACUUACAGAUGGGCCCGCGGCGCAUUAGCUAGUUGGUGGGGUAACGGCUCACCAAGGCAACGAUGCGUAGCCGACCUGAGAGGGUGAUCGGCCACACUGGGACUGAGACACGGCCCAGACUCCUACGGGAGGCAGCAGUAGGGAAUCUUCCGCAAUGGACGAAAGUCUGACGGAGCAACGCCGCGUGAGUGAUGAAGGUUUUCGGAUCGUAAAACUCUGUUGUUAGGGAAGAAUAAGUACUAAAGUA
Molecule: ribosomal RNA, 461 nt
Filed under: uncultured bacterium
Lineage: Bacteria
Description: bacterial SSU rRNA
Rfam family: Bacterial small subunit ribosomal RNA
Source: RNAcentral